This 204-nucleotide unclassified non-coding RNA is filed under the name Hevea brasiliensis (rubber tree). Lineage: Eukaryota; Viridiplantae; Streptophyta; Magnoliopsida; Malpighiales; Euphorbiaceae. The record is from RNAcentral.
GUUGACUCUUGUUUUUCCUCGCUCGAAUGCUUCUUUUCUUCUAUGGUUUACUAUUGACGCUUGGUCGUUUUGGUUCGAGUUGAUAUAUUUUAGUUGUUGAGGCAUAGACCAUGUCUUUUUGUGUGAUUUAUGCCUAGAAUGCCUUUGAUUAAUAGUUUGGUUUUUUACCUUUGAUUAUAAUCUCGAAAGUUUGUUUCCUUCUUG